Molecule: ribosomal RNA, 248 nt
Filed under: uncultured bacterium
Lineage: Bacteria
Description: partial 16S ribosomal RNA
Rfam family: Bacterial small subunit ribosomal RNA
Source: RNAcentral
GAUACCUACGGGAGGCAGCAGUGGGGGAUAUUGCACAAUGGGGGAAACCCUGAUGCAGCGACGCCGCGGGGGUGAAGAAGCGCCUCGGCGCGUAAAGCCCUGUCAGCAGGGAAGAAAAUGACGGUACCUGAAGAAGAAGCCCCGGCUAACUACGUGCCAGCAGCCGCGGUAAUACGUAGGGGGCAAGCGUUAUCCGGAUUUACUGGGGGUAAAGGGGGCGCAGACGGCGAUGCAGGCCAGGAGGGAGA